This 439-nucleotide ribosomal RNA is filed under the name uncultured bacterium. RNAcentral describes it as "partial 16S ribosomal RNA". It matches the Rfam family "Bacterial small subunit ribosomal RNA", at positions 338 to 795 of the family's 1533-position model. The record is from RNAcentral.
CCUACGGGCGGCAGCAGUGGGGAAUAUUGGACAAUGGGGGGAACCCUGAUCCAGCGACGCCGCGUGAGUGAAGAAGUAUUUCGGUAUGUAAAGCUCUAUCAGCAGGGAAGAAAAUGACGGUACCUGACGAAGAAGCCCCGGCUAACUACGUGCCAGCAGCAGCGGUAAUACGUAGGGGGCAAGCGAUAUCCGGAUUUACUGGGUGUAGAGGGAGCGUAGACGGUGCAGCAAGUCUGAUGUGAAAGGUCGGGGCUCAACCCCGGCCUGCCGUUGAAAAUGGCGGCCUCGAGUGGGCGAGAAGUAUGCGGAAUGCGUGGUGUAGCGGUGAAAUGCAUAGAUAUCACGCAGAACUCCGAUUGCGAAGGCAGCAUACCGGAGCCCGACUGACGCUGAGGCACGAAAGCGUGGGUAUCGAACAGGAUUAGAUACCCCUGUAGUC